UCCUUGUCGGGUAAGUUCCGACCUGCACGAAUGGCGUAAUGAUGGCCAGGCUGUCUCCACCCGAGACUCAGUGAAAUUGAACUCGCUGUGAAGAUGCAGUGUACCCGCGGCAAGACGGAAAGACCCCGUGAACCUUUACUAUAGCUUGACACUGAACAUUGAGCCUUGAUGUGUAGGAUAGGUGGGAGGCUUUGAAGCGUGGACGCCAGUCUGCGUGGAGCCAACCUUGAAAUACCACCCUUUAAUGUUUGAUGUUCUAACGUUGGCCCCUUACCGGGGUUGCGGACAGUGUCUGGUGGGUAGUUUGACUGGGGCGGUCUCCUCCCAAAGCGUAACGGAGGAGCACGAAGGUUAGCUAAUCCUGGUCGGACAUCAGGAGGUUAGUGCAAUGGCAUAAGCUAGCUUGACUGCGAGCGUGACGGCGCGAGCAGGUGCGAAAGCAGGUCAUAGUGAUCCGGUGGUUCUGAAUGGAAGGGCCAUCGCUCAACGGAUAAAAGGUACUCCGGGGAUAACAGGCUGAUACCGCCCAAGAGUUCAUAUCGACGGCGGUGUUUGGCACCUCGAUGUCGGCUCAUCACAUCCUGGGGCUGAAGUAGGUCCCAAGGGUAUGGCUGUUCGCCAUUUAAAGUGGUACGCGAGCUGGGUUUAGAACGUCGUGAGACAGUUCGGUCCCUAUCUGCCGUGGGCGCUGGAGAAUUGAGGGGGGCUGCUCCUAGUACGAGAGGACCGGAGUGGACGCAUCACUGGUGUUCGGGUUGUCAUGCCAAUGGCACUGCCCGGUAGCUAAAUGCGGAAGAGAUAAGUGCUGAAAGCAUCUAAGCACGAAACUUGCCCCGAGAUGAGUUCUCCCUGAGACUU
This 858-nucleotide ribosomal RNA is filed under the name Klebsiella pneumoniae. Its description in RNAcentral is "partial 23S ribosomal RNA". It matches the Rfam family "Bacterial large subunit ribosomal RNA", at positions 1966 to 2823 of the family's 2925-position model. Lineage: Bacteria; Pseudomonadati; Pseudomonadota; Gammaproteobacteria; Enterobacterales; Enterobacteriaceae. The record is from RNAcentral.